GACGAACGCUGGCGGCGUGCUUAACACAUGCAAGUCGAACGGAAAGGCCCUGCUUUUGUGGGGUGCUCGAGUGGCGAACGGGUGAGUAACACGUGAGUAACCUGCCCUUGACUUUGGGAUAACUUCAGGAAACUGGGGCUAAUACCGGAUAGGAGCUCCUGCUGCAUGGUGGGGGUUGGAUAGUUUCGGCGGUUGGGGAUGGACUCGCGGCUUAUCAGCUUGUUGGUGGGGUAGUGGCUUACCAAGGCCUUGACGGGUAGCCGGCCUGAGAGGGUGACCGGCCACAUUGGGACUGAGAUGCGGCCCAGACUCCUACGGGAGGCAACAGUGGAGAAUAGUGCACAAUGGGCGGAAGCCUGAUGCAGCAACGCCGCGUGCGGGAUGACGGCCUUCGGGUUGUAUUCCGCUUUCGCCUGUGACGAGGCGUGAGUGACGGUAAUGGGUAAAGAAGCUCCGGCUAACUACGUG
This 468-nucleotide ribosomal RNA is filed under the name uncultured bacterium. Its description in RNAcentral is "partial 16S ribosomal RNA". It matches the Rfam family "Bacterial small subunit ribosomal RNA", at positions 28 to 507 of the family's 1533-position model. The record is from RNAcentral.